GAUUUCUGACUGACCGUCCUGGCCCGCUUCUUUUACGGGAGUGAGUGCCGGUACGAGUUUGUCAUCCUUCUAGAAAGCCGCGCCUACCGUUCAUUCGUGCGGGCGUGUGCGGUCUAGAUCUUUUACUUUGAAAAAAUUAGAGUGUUUAAAGCAGGCUUACGCUAUGAAUACAUUAGCAUGGAAUAAUAAUCUAGGACUUUCGGUUCUAUUUUGUUGGUGUUCUGGAGCUGAAGUAAUGAUUGAUAGGGAUAGUUGGGGGUGCUAGUAUUCAAUGGCCAGAGGUGAAAUUCUCGGAUUCCUUGAAGACUAACUUAUGCGAAAGCAUU
RNAcentral lists this ribosomal RNA (326 nucleotides) under Euglypha sp. (in: cercozoans). RNAcentral's name for it is "SSU rRNA". The stretch from base 109 to 326 matches the Rfam family "Eukaryotic small subunit ribosomal RNA", at positions 738 to 955 of the family's 1831-position model. The record is from RNAcentral. Lineage: Eukaryota; Cercozoa; Imbricatea; Euglyphida; Euglyphidae.